This 105-nucleotide microRNA precursor is filed under the name Marmota monax (woodchuck). The record is from RNAcentral. Lineage: Eukaryota; Metazoa; Chordata; Mammalia; Rodentia; Sciuridae.
AACAUAAUUGCUGAAUCAUAUAGUAAAUCUGGAGUGUUUAACAUUUUGAGAAACUGCCAAACUGUUUUCUAAAGCAGAUGCAUCAUUUAUAUUUCCAUCAGCAAU